This 464-nucleotide ribosomal RNA is filed under the name uncultured bacterium. Its description in RNAcentral is "partial 16S ribosomal RNA". It matches the Rfam family "Bacterial small subunit ribosomal RNA", at positions 338 to 795 of the family's 1533-position model. The record is from RNAcentral.
CCUACGGGAGGCAGCAGUAGGGAAUUUUCGUCAAUGGGCGCAAGCCUGAACGAGCGAUGCCGCGUGAGUGAAGAAGGCCUUCGGGUCGUAAAGCUCUGUUUCUGGGGAAAAAGGCAGCAUCAGGAAAUCGUUGCUGACUGAUCUUUCCCCGUCAGAAAGUCCCGGCUAACUACGUGCCAGCAGCCGCGGUAAUACGUAGGUGGCGAGCUUUGUCCGGAUUGAUUGGGCGUAAAGGGUGCGCAGGCGGUUCUGUAAGUUUGGAGUGAAACGCAUGAGCUCAAACCAUGCAUGGCUUUGGAAACUGGAGGACUUGAGAGCAGGGGAGGGCGGUGGAACUCGAUGUGUAGCGGUAAAAUGCGUAGAUAUAUGGAAGAACACCAGUGGCGAAGGCGGCCGCCUGGCCUGUUGCUGACGCUGAGGCACGAAAGCGUGGGGAGCAAAUAGGAUUAGAUACCCUAGUAGUC